GAUUGGAGAGGAGAGGAGACAGGGAUGAGGCAGAGCAUGGGAUGGGGCUAUCAACAGAUGUAGAUUAUUCCUUGCACAAGAGAUGAUGAUGAGCUGUGAAUGAGUUCUGAGAGAUGGCUGGUGUUGUUGUUGCUCCCUCCCCUGCACUGCCUCUUCCCUGGCUCCCCUGCACACCUCUCUCU
This is a microRNA precursor of Oryza sativa Japonica Group (Japanese rice), 182 nucleotides long. It matches the Rfam family "MIR408 microRNA precursor family". The record is from Rfam. NCBI's taxonomy places the organism in Eukaryota, Viridiplantae, Streptophyta, Magnoliopsida, Poales, Poaceae.